CGAUUCGUGUUGCGUUGCGAUAAACUGAAGAAAAGACUACGUGGUGUUGGGUCUUCUUCCACCUUAUAGAGAGAUAAAAGAAUCUGUAACCAAGGAAGGGCCAAGAGCAAAUUGACAGCUCCCAUUCCUCAACAAAUGGCGUCACGAACAGGAUCUCUCUGGAAAAAGACCGACACCGGUUUCAGGACCUUCAGACUCAGGCAGUAACCAAGGAGCGCUCCACUAUAACCAGGUAAGACACACCUGUUCCUGUUAUUACGGGCAAAGUGUCAAGAUUCGGCUUAUGUCCAAUAAGGACCGAUCAAAUCAAACUGCUCUGAACCUGAAUGUGUUGAACCAAGUAUAGUGAUUGGGUCUUGUAGGUGGCAAAUAACAAAUUGAUAAUGAGUUUGUAGGCAAUUAAAAAAAAAUAGUGGUUAAUUGCUAAGGCAGGUCCAGGUAAUUUUUAUUAUUCUGGAUGCUGAUAAAUUGUAGGACUGACGACUGGAGAUCGCGGUCUGAGUAGACAGCUGAGCAAAGACGAUACUGAGUUCGUAGGUAUUUGAAAAAUUAGUGGUUAAUUGCUGAGGCAGGUCCAGGUAAUUUUUAUUAUUCUGGAUGCUGAUAAAUUGUAGGACUGACGACUGGAGAUCGCGGUCUGAGUAGACAGCUGA
Molecule: long non-coding RNA, 653 nt
Organism: Hippocampus zosterae (dwarf seahorse)
Lineage: Eukaryota; Metazoa; Chordata; Actinopteri; Syngnathiformes; Syngnathidae
Exons: 3
Source: RefSeq, a predicted model, not a curated record